AUGUUUACAUGGCUUUUGGUAAUCACUCUUGGCGAUGUUGAAGAUGAAUCCGAGGGCUACAUGGAGCCGUCAAAGAUUUUUGUGAAGAAGCAGGAUCAACAUGCUGGCUUGGAAAUUAAAGACCUUAGAAAACAAAAUAUCAGUCUCAUGGUCAAAUGGUGGUGGAAAUUAGAGACACAAAACGGGCUCUGGCAGAACAUAGUCCGGGCCAGGUAUCUUCGCAACAUCUCUGUUGCUGAAGUUUCUCCCAAAUUCUCCGACUCGCCCUGUUGGAAGGCCUUGCUCAAAAUCAAAAACAUAUAUAUGAUGGGCAGGAAAAUUGAAACUGGUGCUAGAACCUGA
Molecule: ribosomal RNA, 342 nt
Filed under: Triticum aestivum (bread wheat)
Lineage: Eukaryota; Viridiplantae; Streptophyta; Magnoliopsida; Poales; Poaceae
Description: partial small subunit ribosomal RNA
Source: RNAcentral